RNAcentral lists this transfer RNA (75 nucleotides) under Methanomicrobium antiquum. Its description in RNAcentral is "tRNA-Met". It matches the Rfam family "tRNA". From Rfam's summary of the family: Transfer RNA (tRNA) molecules are approximately 80 nucleotides in length. Their secondary structure includes four short double-helical elements and three loops (D, anti-codon, and T loops). RNAcentral also lists the same sequence under 1 other name. Lineage: Archaea; Methanobacteriati; Methanobacteriota; Methanomicrobia; Methanomicrobiales; Methanomicrobiaceae. The record is from RNAcentral.
AGCGAGGUGGGGUAGUCAGGAAAUCCCGGCGGGCUCAUAACCCGUAGAUCGAUGGUUCAAAUCCAUUCCUCGCUA